UCUGUAUCUUUAGGUAUUUAAAUAAAAGUAAACAAGCAAUUUGUACAUUUUCGGGUAGUUAUAACAUUUAUUGCUAGUUUUAUCCAGCGAUUGAUAAUAAACAUAGAUGACGAACUAGCUCUGUAAAAUGACCCCACACAUAUUGUGCCACGGUAGGUGGGGCGUAAAUAUUGUGCCACGGAGCUAUUUAGUUCGCAAAUGGCGGCCCGUUGUGACAGUCGUUGUAAGAAGUAUUUAGAUUAUUUCUUUAAGGAAAAAAUAUGCCUUAAUGUAAGGUUAAAUGAUGUGCUAGCCGUUCCAACAAAAACUGAAAA
Cydia splendana is the source of this 314-nucleotide long non-coding RNA. RefSeq lists it as uncharacterized. The transcript has 2 exons. The record is from RefSeq and is a predicted model, not a curated record. NCBI's taxonomy places the organism in Eukaryota, Metazoa, Arthropoda, Insecta, Lepidoptera, Tortricidae.